RNAcentral lists this small nuclear RNA (170 nucleotides) under Canis lupus familiaris (dog). RNAcentral describes it as "U4 spliceosomal RNA (multiple genes)". The stretch from base 1 to 85 matches the Rfam family "U4 spliceosomal RNA". Rfam says of the family: U4 small nuclear RNA (U4 snRNA) is a component of the major U2-dependent spliceosome. The structure of U4 snRNA from yeast and human has been reported. Lineage: Eukaryota; Metazoa; Chordata; Mammalia; Carnivora; Canidae. The record is from RNAcentral.
AGCUUUGUGCAGUGGCAGUAUCAUAGGCCAAUGAGGUUUAUCUGAGGUGUGAUUAUUGCUAAUUGAAAAGGAUUCAUCCAACUUAGAGAGGUUCCCACUGGCCACAUAUGAGACAAUAUGAGUAUCAAUGAUGCUAAUAAACCAUUUUGUUGUUUUAAAAACCAAUUAAA